GAUGAACGCUGGCGGCGUGCCUAAUACAUGCAAGUCGAGCGAAUGGAUUAAGAGCUUGCUCUUAUGAAGUUAGCGGCGGACGGGUGAGUAACACGUGGGUAACCUGCCCAUAAGACUGGGAUAACUCCGGGAAACCGGGGCUAAUACCGGAUAAUAUUUUGAACUGCAUGGUUCAAAAUUGAAAGGCGGCUUCGGCUGUCACUUAUGGAUGGACCCGCGUCGCAUUAGCUAGUUGGUGAGGUAACGGCUCACCAAGGCAACGAUGCGUAGCCGACCUGAGAGGGUGAUCGGCAACACUGGGACUGAGACACGGCCCAGACUCCUACGGGAGGCAGCAGUAGGGAAUCUUCCGCAAUGGACGAAAGUCUGACGGAGCAACGCCGCGUGAGUGAUGAAGGCUUUCGGGUCGUAAAACUCUGUUGUUAGGGAAGAACAAGUGCUAGUUGGAUAAGCUGGCACCUUGACGGUACCUAACCAGAAAGCCACGGCUAACUAUGUGCCAGCCGCCGCAGUAA
Molecule: ribosomal RNA, 515 nt
Filed under: uncultured bacterium
Lineage: Bacteria
Description: partial 16S ribosomal RNA
Rfam family: Bacterial small subunit ribosomal RNA
Source: RNAcentral